UGCAUGUGAGUGUGUGUGUUUAAUCCUCUGAUCACAUAGACUGAUCCUCUUCCUACCCCAGUGACACCUGGGAGAUGAUACGGGUCUGUUCAGAAGCAGGUAUUACAGUGUGAUGUAGCCAGCCAUGCUAAACUUAUGCUAAAUGAUGUAUCCAGUCUGUUACGAUAAGAGCAUAAACCUGUUUUCUUCAGGCCAGGGUGCCUGGCUGGCUAAUUUAAGUCCUGUAUGGUGAGAAAAUCCUGGUUGUCCUCUGGAAGAUGGAUCUACAUUGUAGCACAAUGGAAACCUCUCUCCCAGGAAUCAGCGAGUGCCCCUGUGUCUCAAUUCUUCUGGAAGUGUCUCAUAAGGGUUGUCAACCAAGACAUCUUAGCAAACCCACUGGUGCAGUCAAUCUUCCUUGCUGUACUGCUUCCAACAACGAUGAAGCAAAGAAAACAGACGGAGAGCAGACGUACGGACUCUUCUGGAAAUACUUUUAUUAUAUGAUUAUGUUUUUCCAAAUAACAUACAGAAGCAAGACAAGUUGGCUGCCUAGCAACUACACAGUUCACAAGAGAACUCCUUUGCCUUUGUUAAUAUCUAUCAAAAAAGAGAGCAAGAAAAGAAAGUAGCACUCAGAGACAUUUUUGCUUUAAAUAUACACUUUUGUCUGAGACAAUAAAUAGCAACCAUCAUUGGACAUUGACUGAAUUUAAUAAACAAUGCACACAAAAAAUAAAUGUAUUUACAUAUUUUGUAAUUGUCAAAAGUGUACAGUUGUGCGUGUCAAAUUGACAUCAUGUCUGGAGGAAGAUAGGUCUAUUGUACUGAUAACUCUCUCCGAAUAGUGCAACGUCAUAAUCGAUGGCUGAACAGUAGUUUUUACGUAUUGAUUGUUGAUGAGUGAUUGAUUAUUAUCACUAGGAAAUUGAGUGGCUCAAAGAUGCCCCAUUGUAACUAUUGCAUUGUAAAUCGAAUGACUAAAUGGCAAGAGACACUAAAAAUGUACUAAUGUAAUCUGUCAUUUGUUAAAUGUAAUCACCAUGAUAUUACAAACAAACAAGACAAGAAUGUGACAGAGGAUCACAGAACGGUUUUGUGCGCAUAGAAAUCAGACUAUGAAUUCAAAUAAUCUUAAAACAUGAAAAAUACUUAAGAUCUCAGGUGACUGUACAGUCACACACACACACACACACAAACACACGCACACACACACACUCUCUUCUCUAUCCGACAGGUACCAUGUCCUUCAAUAUUGUUCAAUAAAAGCAUGCAAAACCCUCUAUGGGGAAGACCUGUGUUAACAGAAAUGUAUUUUUAAAAUGUCAAAUUACGCACAAAUAACAAAAGGCAUUCUCUCUCCGACCCUUGCUCUAAAAGGGUGUACAGCUGACUGAUGGGACUAUAACGCACAACACCAAA
This is a long non-coding RNA of Hypomesus transpacificus, 1401 nucleotides long. RefSeq lists it as uncharacterized. Lineage: Eukaryota; Metazoa; Chordata; Actinopteri; Osmeriformes; Osmeridae. The record is from RefSeq and is a predicted model, not a curated record. The transcript has 3 exons.